CUUUUGCUGUUGGCGCGUUAAGGAUUGCAGCGUUAUCCUUUUUUGUCUUUUUCAAAAAAGAUUUAAGCGGAAAGCCUGACCCUUU
Molecule: non-coding RNA, 85 nt
Organism: Winogradskyella psychrotolerans RS-3
Lineage: Bacteria; Pseudomonadati; Bacteroidota; Flavobacteriia; Flavobacteriales; Flavobacteriaceae
Source: Rfam